GAUCACAGGCAUGUUCUCAUUUUAAGUAAUGUCCUUUUGAGUCCACCACAAGGGCGUGAAUUCCUCUGCGUCUGGGUCUGCUAAGCAGUCACACCCUUGACUUAGGUCUCGCCAGGCCCGGCCCUGACCGGCCACAGGAGGGCAGAAAGGUGCUCCUGGGUCUCUGGGAGAAAUCAGGAGCGGACAUCGGGUUCCUGAGCCUCGGCGCUGAGGACAGCUAAGCCUCGUGCACAGGUCAGUGCC
RNAcentral lists this long non-coding RNA (243 nucleotides) under Felis catus (domestic cat). Its description in RNAcentral is "lncRNA (ENSFCAG00000045083.2)". The record is from RNAcentral. Lineage: Eukaryota; Metazoa; Chordata; Mammalia; Carnivora; Felidae.